RNAcentral lists this ribosomal RNA (469 nucleotides) under uncultured bacterium. RNAcentral's name for it is "partial 16S ribosomal RNA". It matches the Rfam family "Bacterial small subunit ribosomal RNA", at positions 28 to 507 of the family's 1533-position model. The record is from RNAcentral.
GAUGAACGCUGGCAGCGUGCUUAACACAUGCAAGUCGAACGGUGAAGCUCCAGCUUGCUGGAGUGGAUCAGUGGCGAACGGGUGAGUAACACGUGAGCAACCUGCCCCUGACUCUGGGAUAACAGCCGGAAACGGCUGCUAAUACCGGAUAUGCACCAUGAACGCAUGUUCUGUGGUGGGAAAGAUUUUUCGGUUGGGGAUGGGCUCGCGGCCUAUCAGCUUGUUGGUGAGGUAAUGGCUCACCAAGGCGUCGACGGGUAGCCGGCCUGAGAGGGUGACCGGCCACACUGGGACUGAGACACGGCCCAGACUCCUACGGGAGGCAGCAGUGGGGAAUAUUGCACAAUGGGCGAAAGCCUGAUGCAGCAACGCCGCGUGAGGGAUGACGGCCUUCGGGUUGUAAACCUCUUUUAGCAGGGAAGAAGCGAGAGUGACGGUACCUGCAGAAAAAGCGCCGGCUAACUACGUG